RNAcentral lists this small nuclear RNA (102 nucleotides) under Mesocricetus auratus (golden hamster). The record is from RNAcentral. Lineage: Eukaryota; Metazoa; Chordata; Mammalia; Rodentia; Cricetidae.
GUCUUACUUAGGAAGAACAUAUCCUAAAAAUUGGAAGGAUACAGAGCAGAUUAACAUGAACCCUGCCCAAGGGUACAUUUUUUGUCACCUUUGCAUUUAUCU